AAUGGGUUAUGUAUCUCCUCAAGG
RNAcentral lists this non-coding RNA (24 nucleotides) under Cricetulus griseus (Chinese hamster). Lineage: Eukaryota; Metazoa; Chordata; Mammalia; Rodentia; Cricetidae. The record is from RNAcentral.